RNAcentral lists this long non-coding RNA (711 nucleotides) under Rattus norvegicus (Norway rat). Its description in RNAcentral is "long non-coding RNA NONRATT021924". The record is from RNAcentral. Lineage: Eukaryota; Metazoa; Chordata; Mammalia; Rodentia; Muridae.
AGUAACAUCAAGGACCACCAGAUGGUGACACUGGGUCCUUGAGCAAUUCAAUUCAAAGGCCCAGGUCACCAACCAGGGGGCCAGACAGCCAACUAAUAAAUGUCCUCAGCUUCUAAGUGAAUAACCCUCUUGCUUCUGUCUUGUGAUCCCAGAUUCGAGAGUAGCAAUCUUCCCUUCUCCUUUAACACGGCCUUUAGCUCAUUGAGAUGCAGGGAAAACGAGUGGACACUUGUGAACUGCCUGGAGUUUCUGUGGACAACCAUCCUAACACAGCAAGGAGGACAGUGCCAGUGUCUGUGAGAGGACAGAGGCCAUCACUAAUGGCUGACUUCCCAGCUCCCUCACUGCAAGCCUGGGAUACAACAGCUACCAGAGAGGAUAUGACCCUCAGGUCCUGCACGUCUCCCAAGGACCAUGCUAAAGACCUCUCCUUGAUAUUACAUCUCUGUUUCUCCACAAAUUGUUUCCAAAACAUUUGUCUCCCUGGGCAUAUGGAUGGCUGUGUAGUCCAACUUGGCAGACCUCUGGAAGCCGAGACUUCCCUCAGCUACAGGUAGAAUUCAGGCUGUAUGACAAGACCAUACGAUUUUGAUAAUAACCUAUAUUCUCAUAGAGCCUGGGACACUCAAAAGUGCCAGUGCAAGUAGCCUGCAUGUGUAAGGAUAACUUUUGUUUUACUUGACCUUUAACUUUUGGAAUGAGCAUAGUUUU